Molecule: ribosomal RNA, 407 nt
Filed under: uncultured bacterium
Lineage: Bacteria
Description: bacterial SSU rRNA
Rfam family: Bacterial small subunit ribosomal RNA
Source: RNAcentral
GUGGGGAAUAUUGCACAAUGGGGGGAACCCUGAUGCAGCAACGCCGCGUGAGUGAAGAAGUAUUUCGGUAUGUAAAGCUCUAUCAGCAGGGAAGAAAAAAGACGGUACCUGACUAAGAAGCCCCGGCUAACUACGUGCCAGCAGCCGCGGUAAUACGUAGGGGGCAAGCGUUAUCCGGAUUUACUGGGUGUAAAGGGAGCGCAGGCGGUGCGGCAAGUCAGAUGUGAAAACCCAGGGCUUAACCCUGGGACUGCAUUUGAAACUGUCGAACUGGAGUGUCGGAGAGGUAAGCGGAAUUCCUAGUGUAGCGGUGAAAUGCGUAGAUAUUAGGAAGAACACCGGUGGCGAAGGCGGCUUACUGGACGAUAACUGACGCUGAGGCUCGAAAGCGUGGGGAGCAAACAGGA